GGAGUCUGGGCCGUGUCUCAGUCCCAAUGUGGCUGAUCAUCCUCUCAGACCAGCUAGAGAUCGUCGCCUUGGUGAGCCAUUACCUCACCAACUAGCUAAUCAGACGCGGGUCCAUCCUUUACCGAUAAAUCUUUUCACACUGUAUCAUGCGAUACUGUGCGCUUAUGCGGUAUUAGCAGUCGUUUCCAACUGUUGUCC
RNAcentral lists this ribosomal RNA (198 nucleotides) under uncultured Anaerostipes sp. RNAcentral's name for it is "partial 16S ribosomal RNA". Lineage: Bacteria; Bacillati; Bacillota; Clostridia; Lachnospirales; Lachnospiraceae. The record is from RNAcentral.